Molecule: small nucleolar RNA, 117 nt
Organism: Acipenser ruthenus (sterlet)
Lineage: Eukaryota; Metazoa; Chordata; Actinopteri; Acipenseriformes; Acipenseridae
Source: RefSeq, a predicted model, not a curated record
UGCCUGUGAUGAGUUUCCAUGCUAAUAAUGAUACACCAGACUGGGUCUUCGGGUCUGUGUCUGGGUGUAGCUGAGUUUAAACUCGCUAUUCUCACACCGCUGUGGGAUCUGAGGCAA